GAUUGCUGUGAUGGGGGUGGUUUGCCGCCACGACGCAGCGAGAAGUUCAUUGAACCUUAUCAUUUAGAGGAAGGAGAAGUCGUAACAAGGUUUCCGUAGGUGAACCUGCGGAAGGAUCAUUG
Molecule: ribosomal RNA, 122 nt
Filed under: Disperis dicerochila
Lineage: Eukaryota; Viridiplantae; Streptophyta; Magnoliopsida; Asparagales; Orchidaceae
Description: partial 18S ribosomal RNA
Rfam family: Eukaryotic small subunit ribosomal RNA
Source: RNAcentral